This 98-nucleotide transfer RNA is filed under the name Lentinula lateritia. RNAcentral's name for it is "tRNA-Ser". It matches the Rfam family "tRNA". From Rfam's summary of the family: Transfer RNA (tRNA) molecules are approximately 80 nucleotides in length. Their secondary structure includes four short double-helical elements and three loops (D, anti-codon, and T loops). Lineage: Eukaryota; Fungi; Basidiomycota; Agaricomycetes; Agaricales; Omphalotaceae. The record is from RNAcentral.
GUCACUUUGCCGGAGUGGUUAACGGGAUCGCCUGCUACCUUGCAGUAGUCGAAAGCGGUUGGGCUUUGCCCGCGUGUGUUCGAAUCGCACAGGUGACG